AUGAACGCUGGCGGCGUGCCUAACCCAUGUAAGUCGAGCGAUUCAUUAGCAAUAGUGAAGAGCGGCGGAAGGGUGAGUAACACGUAGGAGACCUACCUCAUCGCAGGGAACAACUUCGCGAAAGCGGAGCUAAUACCCAGAAGGCUCAUGGCUUCGGUGUCAUGAGGAGAGUACCGGGAAACUGGUGCGUGAUGAGAGGGUCCUGCGGCCCAUCAGCUCGUUGGUAGGGUAGUGGCCUACCAAGGCAACGACGGGUAGGGGGUCUGAGAGGACGAUCCCCCACACUGGAACUGAAACACGGUCCAGACGCCUACGGGUGGCAGCAGGGAGGAAUAUUGGGCAAUGGACGAAAGUCUGACCCAGCAACGCCGCGUGGAGGAUGAAGGCCUUCGGGUCGUAAACUCCUUUUGAGGGAGAAGAGCAAGGACGGUAUCCCUCGAAUAAGCCACGGCUAACUACGU
Molecule: ribosomal RNA, 461 nt
Filed under: uncultured bacterium
Lineage: Bacteria
Description: bacterial SSU rRNA
Rfam family: Bacterial small subunit ribosomal RNA
Source: RNAcentral